RNAcentral lists this long non-coding RNA (1000 nucleotides) under Sinocyclocheilus anshuiensis. RNAcentral describes it as "lncRNA (ENSSANG00000051358.1)". Lineage: Eukaryota; Metazoa; Chordata; Actinopteri; Cypriniformes; Cyprinidae. The record is from RNAcentral.
AAUUGUCUGUGGCGCCAUCCCAUUUGAGCUGCGUCUUCAUUAUCUGAUGUUUGGCCUUGGCACCAGUUUAGUAUGUUUGAUGAAAUUUGGUCCCGGUGAUAAUUUCUCCCCGUCACGCUCCCGUAAUGAGAGGUGUGGAGGCUCCAUAUGGUGGUGUUUGUGCUCGAGUACCCGUUGAGAAUGUCACUUGCUGAUACUAAAUCACCCAGCUUGAGAGGGUGUUUGUGUGUGUUGCAAGAGGGAUCCUGAGUUGCAGGCCAGCGAGGAGAAAGUUAAUAGCCAGGGCUUAGAAGUCAGCCCGCUCAAGUCCAAAUUACAGGAAAAGACAGAACAAUCUCAACAGCUGCAAGAUCAAAUUCUCAAGCAGCAGGAGGCUCUAAGUAGGGCAAGCCAAACUCUCAAAGACACCAGGAAAGCAGCUGGCAAUAAGUGGCAUCAGCAGGUGGAGAGACAGACAUGGUGGAACCACAGGCGGAGGGUGAACCAGCUGCAGGGUAAAGCUAUGAAGUCUACGAGGUGGGCAUGCGAUUCUGCAAGGGAUGAGAUCGAAGAAGAAGAAUUCCCAGGAAGCAUGGGAAGAGAUGGAGGAGGAAACAUUACAGCAAACCUCUUGCAAGGAGUUCUCAAAGAAUAAAAAUAAACUUUAAAACUAUAAACAGAGAAGCCCUGCAGAAAGAAUUGAGAUUGAGACUUUUUUUGACCCUUCAUUGACUUCUUUUAGGUGUUUCAAUGAGAACUUGGGAAACAUUAAAUUUGGCCUCACAGAAAAAGGUGAGUCAUGUUUUAUAAGUGUUUAAAAGAGAAAGUGUGUGUGUUUUUUUUCUUCCAAACGAUGUUGUUUUGAGAAUGGAUAUUAGAGAUAUAUUAGGGAGGCAUAGAUGAGAGACUGUAUUCAGGUUUUUUUUUAUUUUGCUCAGCAAGGUGCUCAGCCUUUUUCUUUAGAGGUGGUUUAUAUCGCUCUCUGUGUGUGUGUGUGUGUGUGUGUGUGUGUGUGUGUGUG